This 526-nucleotide ribosomal RNA is filed under the name uncultured bacterium. Its description in RNAcentral is "bacterial SSU rRNA". It matches the Rfam family "Bacterial small subunit ribosomal RNA", at positions 95 to 606 of the family's 1533-position model. The record is from RNAcentral.
GUGGCGAACGGGUGAGUAACACGUAGGGAACCUGCCCCUAAGACGAGGAUAACUACUGGAAACGGUAGCUAAUACUGGAUAGGAUAAGUUGACGCAUGUUGGCUUAUUUAAAGGUGCCUAUAAAGCACCGCUUAGGGAUGGCCCUGCGGCGCAUUAGCUAGUUGGUGGGGUAACGGCCUACCAAGGCGACGAUGCGUAGCUGUGCUGAGAGGCAGAACAGCCACACUGGGACUGAGACACGGCCCAGACUCCUACGGGAGGCAGCAGUAGGGAAUUUUCGGCAAUGGGGGGAACCCUGACCGAGCGAUGCCGCGUGAGUGAUGAAGGUCUUCGGACUGUAAAACUCUGUUAUUAGGGAAGAAUACUAUAGGGAGGGAAUGCCUUAUAGAUGACGGUACCUAAUGAGGAAGCCCCGGCCAACUAUGUGCCAGCAGCCGCGGUAAUACAUAGGGGGCGAGCGUUAUCCGGAAUUACUGGGCGUAAAGGGUGCGUAGGCGGUUUCUUAAGUCUAGUGUGAAAGCCCACG